Long non-coding RNA from Phacochoerus africanus (Common warthog), 2255 nucleotides. RefSeq lists it as uncharacterized. Lineage: Eukaryota; Metazoa; Chordata; Mammalia; Artiodactyla; Suidae. The record is from RefSeq and is a predicted model, not a curated record. The transcript has 3 exons.
UUUUUUCAGGUGAAAAUCAUAAGGUGGAGAAGAGACUGAAUAUGCCCACUGUGCCCAAGGCAGGGCUUGAGUUGAUCUGGGGUUUACUUGGCUUCAUGGAUUUGAAACCAUAGAUGCUCUUACACAUCUUUCCCGUUUGAUUGGAGUGAAGCAUGCCACUCCUAAAAAGAAACUACUCGUUCUUUCAUUUCCUUCAAAAAAAAAAAAAAAGGAGAAGAAGAAGAAAUUUAAUUUGGAUUCGGCUAAUACCCUUAUAACAUCUAAAGCUGUCAAGCAAAAAGAGGAGUAGAUAAUUAGAAGAUGAUGGGAGCCAGCACAGAGCCGAGUGGAGGAAAAGACAGGCACAGGAUGAGAAAAUGGAGACUUGGAGGAGUAAUUUGCCCAAGAUCAUGCUGUGGGGCAGGGAUCUGAAUCCAGACAGUCUGACUCCAAAACCCAACUUCGUAACCACCAAAAUAGGAAGAAUCCCAAGCAUUUUCAAGUUGAAGAAGAAGACAUCAUUCAGAAUCUAAUGGAACCCACAAGUCUGCUCAGCAGCCACCAAAUGCUGCCCAGCCGUUUCGGCCAUGGCUUGACCUCUGGUUUGAUGAUUGACAACAUGUUGGACAGCAGAGAUAAUGCAGGAUUCUUGGAGAUGCCCCUCACCAGUUGAAAUGAGGGCUUUUGGGUGGAGUAUUCUCACUCACCCGGACUCAUGGUGGGUCUUCAAAGCCAGGAAGCACAGGUUGUCUCCUAGAGCUGACCAUUCCUUGUAAGGAAUGAAAACAGAAGCACAGCUUUGCAGCUGGAAAGCUAGAAUUUCAGUAGGGAGUCCAUUUUGGGGCUCCCAUCAUACACUUGAGCAGGACUGUAUCUCGGCUCGUGAACAAGGGAAAAGGGCCCAGCGCUGGGGUUCAGGGGGCCUGGGUUUUAUUGCAUCUCACUCACUAACUAGCUUUGUGACUCCAGGAAGAUCUUUAGACCUUCUUGCAACUCACUUUCCACACAGAGGGUAGAACUAGAUAAUUUAUAUGGACGCUGACAUUUCAAACCUCCACGAUGCCAGUGCCUCACAGCGAGGUCAUGGGCUAAGUUCCACGCCCACAUCUCUGUGUAACUUUGGGUGAGUUUUUAUAACACUAGCGCCUGAGUUUCCCCACCUGUAAAAUUGAGUUAAUCGUACUAGUUUUACAGUAUUUUUGAGAACUUAUGGAUGCAAGGUAUUAUUGCAAAUGCUAGCUACUCUCAAAGCCUUAAAGGCAGUUAUAGUUAUUUAACUUCUCAACGUCUUGUUUGAGAUUGAAAAUGUGUCCCCAGUCAUUUUCACUUGAGUCAACAUUCCUUGUUUUUAUCUUAUCACAAUUUUGAUCUGCUCCCUCAAAUCCACCCUGGGCAGGGUGUCGGUGAGCUCGUCCCCUUCGCUUCCUCCCGAGAACUCUCCUGCCAUGAGGCCCAUCUUCCAUGGAGGAGCCCAUGGAGCCGUGGUUUGAGUCGGGACCUGGUGUUCCAGAGACCUGGCUUCUCGCUCUGGCUCUGCCAUUAACAACCUGUGUGAUCUUGAGCAAGGCGUGUCAUCUAUUUGAGCCCUGGUGUCCCAGUCUUCAAACAAUGAGGAGGUCAGGCCAGAUCACUUCCAUGGUAUCUCCCAAUGCCAGAGUGUAACUUUAGAAAAUACUUAAGGACAUGGAGAAGGGCACUCAAUGCUAUAAACCCACUGAAAUUGAUUUUACAAUAACCCAAAUUGUGAUGCUUAGAGUAACUUACAAUGCAAUACCUUGUGGCACUGUUAUUCAACAUAGUAUUGAAAGUCCUAGACACAGCAAUCAGACAAACAAAAGAAAUAAAAGGCAUCCAAAUAGGAAGGGAAGAGGUAAAACUGUCACUGUAUGCAGGUGACAUGAUACUAUAUAUAGAAAACCCGAAGGACUUAACCCAAAAACUACUUGAACUGAGCAACAAAUUCAGCAGAGUAACAAGAUAUAAGAUUAACAUUCAGAAAUCAGUCACAUUUCUGGAGUUCCCAUCAUGGCGCAGUGGUUAACGAAUCCGACUAGGAACCAUGAGGUUGCGGGUUUGGUCCCUGCCCGUGCUCAGUGGGUUAACGAUCCGGUGUUGCCGUGAGCUGUGGUGUAGGUUGCAGACUUGGCUCGGAUCCCAUGUUGCUGUGGCUCUGGCAUAGGCUGGCAGCUACAGCUCCGAUUAGACCCCUAGCCUGGGAACCUCCAUAUGCCGUGGGAACGGCCCAAGAAAUGGCAAAAAGACAAAAAAAAAAAAAA